Molecule: ribosomal RNA, 433 nt
Filed under: uncultured bacterium
Lineage: Bacteria
Description: partial 16S ribosomal RNA
Rfam family: Bacterial small subunit ribosomal RNA
Source: RNAcentral
AACGAACGCUGGCGGCAUGCCUAACACAUGCAAGUCGAACGAGACCUUCGGGUCUAGUGGCGCACGGGUUCGUAACGCGUGGGAACCUGCCCUUAGGGUCGGAAUAACUCCCCGAAAGGGGUGCUAAUACCGGAUAAUGUCUUCGGACCAAAGAUUUAUCGCCUUUGGAUGGGCCCGCGUUGGAUUAGCUAGUUGGUAGGGUAAAAGCCUACCACGGCGACGAUCCAUAGCUGGUCUGAGAGGAUGAUCAGCCACACUGGGACUGAGACACGGCCCAGACUCCUACGGGAGGGAGCAGUGGGGAAUAUUGGAAAAUGGGCGAAAGCCUGAUCCAGCAAUGCCGCGUGAGUGAUGAAGGCCUUAGGGUUGUAAAGCUCUUUUAACCGGGAUGAUAAUGACAGUACCGGGAGAAUAAGCUCCGGCUAACUCCGUG